This 674-nucleotide ribosomal RNA is filed under the name uncultured Bacilli bacterium. RNAcentral's name for it is "bacterial SSU rRNA". It matches the Rfam family "Bacterial small subunit ribosomal RNA", at positions 79 to 741 of the family's 1533-position model. Lineage: Bacteria; Bacillati; Bacillota; Bacilli. The record is from RNAcentral.
UUGCUUCUCUGGAUGAGUUGCGAACGGGUGAGUAACGCGUAGGUAACCUGCCUGGUAGCGGGGGAUAACUAUUGGAAACGAUAGCUAAUACCGCAUAAUAGUAGAUGUUGCAUGACAUUUGCUUAAAAGGUGCAAUUGCAUCACUACCAGAUGGACCUGCGUUGUAUUAGCUAGUUGGUGGGGUAACGGCUCACCAAGGCGACGAUACAUAGCCGACCUGAGAGGGUGAUCGGCCACACUGGGACUGAGACACGGCCCAGACUCCUACGGGAGGCAGCAGUAGGGAAUCUUCGGCAAUGGACGGAAGUCUGACCGAGCAACGCCGCGUGAGUGAAGAAGGUUUUCGGAUCGUAAAGCUCUGUUGUAAGAGAAGAACGAGUGUGAGAGUGGAAAGUUCACACUGUGACGGUAUCUUACCAGAAAGGGACGGCUAACUACGUGCCAGCAGCCGCGGUAAUACGUAGGUCCCGAGCGUUGUCCGGAUUUAUUGGGCGUAAAGCGAGCGCAGGCGGUUAGAUAAGUCUGAAGUUAAAGGCUGUGGCUUAACCAUAGUACGCUUUGGAAACUGUUUAACUUGAGUGCAAGAGGGGAGAGUGGAAUUCCAUGUGUAGCGGUGAAAUGCGUAGAUAUAUGGAGGAACACCGGUGGCGAAAGCGGCUCUCUGGCUUGUAACU